RNAcentral lists this ribosomal RNA (983 nucleotides) under Escherichia coli. RNAcentral describes it as "partial 23S ribosomal RNA". It matches the Rfam family "Bacterial large subunit ribosomal RNA", at positions 208 to 1230 of the family's 2925-position model. The record is from RNAcentral. Lineage: Bacteria; Pseudomonadati; Pseudomonadota; Gammaproteobacteria; Enterobacterales; Enterobacteriaceae.
ACCCCGAGGAAAAGAAAUCAACCGAGAUUCCCCCAGUAGCGGCGAGCGAACGGGGAGCAGCCCAGAGCCUGAAUCAGUAUGUGUGUUAGUGGAAGCGUCUGGAAAGGCGCGCGAUACAGGGUGACAGCCCCGUACACAAAAAUGCACAUGCUGUGAGCUCGAUGAGUAGGGCGGGACACGUGGUAUCCUGUCUGAAUAUGGGGGGACCAUCCUCCAAGGCUAAAUACUCCUGACUGACCGAUAGUGAACCAGUACCGUGAGGGAAAGGCGAAAAGAACCCCGGCGAGGGGAGUGAAAAAGAACCUGAAACCGUGUACGUACAAGCAGUGGGAGCACGCUUAGGCGUGUGACUGCGUACCUUUUGUAUAAUGGGUCAGCGACUUAUAUUCUGUAGCAAGGUUAACCGAAUAGGGGAGCCGAAGGGAAACCGAGUCUUAACUGGGCGUUAAGUUGCAGGGUAUAGACCCGAAACCCGGUGAUCUAGCCAUGGGCAGGUUGAAGGUUGGGUAACACUAACUGGAGGACCGAACCGACUAAUGUUGAAAAAUUAGCGGAUGACUUGUGGCUGGGGGUGAAAGGCCAAUCAAACCGGGAGAUAGCUGGUUCUCCCCGAAAGCUAUUUAGGUAGCGCCUCGUGAAUUCAUCUCCGGGGGUAGAGCACUGUUUCGGCAAGGGGGUCAUCCCGACUUACCAACCCGAUGCAAACUGCGAAUACCGGAGAAUGUUAUCACGGGAGACACACGGCGGGUGCUAACGUCCGUCGUGAAGAGGGAAACAACCCAGACCGCCAGCUAAGGUCCCAAAGUCAUGGUUAAGUGGGAAACGAUGUGGGAAGGCCCAGACAGCCAGGAUGUUGGCUUAGAAGCAGCCAUCAUUUAAAGAAAGCGUAAUAGCUCACUGGUCGAGUCGGCCUGCGCGGAAGAUGUAACGGGGCUAAACCAUGCACCGAAGCUGCGGCAGCGACGCUGAUGCGUUGUUGGGUA